This 72-nucleotide transfer RNA is filed under the name Candidatus Iainarchaeum sp. Its description in RNAcentral is "tRNA-Gly". It matches the Rfam family "tRNA". From Rfam's summary of the family: Transfer RNA (tRNA) molecules are approximately 80 nucleotides in length. Their secondary structure includes four short double-helical elements and three loops (D, anti-codon, and T loops). The record is from RNAcentral. Lineage: Archaea; Nanobdellati; Candidatus Iainarchaeota; Candidatus Iainarchaeia; Candidatus Iainarchaeales; Candidatus Iainarchaeaceae.
GCAGCCAUAGUCUAGUGGUCAGGAUGCGACCCUUCCAAGGUUGCGACUCGGGUUCGAAUCCCGAUGGCUGCA